AGAUAUUUGACUCGUGUUGAGCCGGCGGUCCAACCGGUUGAGCCAUUCAAACCGUGAACCGAGGGCUUCACCGGUUCCACGUCCGGUCCGGUCCUAAUAACUUUGACUGGACGUGACAUAUCCUAGUACUAUGAAUCUGGAUAUACCUCUGUCCAGAUUCAUUGUACUAGAAUAUAUCACGUCUAGUCUUAGGUUCGUUUUUUUGGACGGAGGGAGUUGAGAAGAUCAACCCCCCCACCCCACCCCACCCCAAACACACACACUGUGUUGCGCUGCUGCCACUCUGCACCUCGCAGCGCUGAACGGGAUGAAUCGGAGAGGGGGGAACGAAUUGGCGACCAGAGAGACUACCUAGACCAGACACCCCGCGACCAUAGACCAAUCAGACUAGGUUGUCUAUUCUCCUUUUCUAGACAACAUAAAAACAGAGCAAAGCCCCAAUUCGAAAACCUGUUGUGCAGUAGUAGAGCAGCAGGCAGACGCGACCACGCAAGGUGUGAGAGAACCGGGUGUUCGAGGCCGCCUGCCUCCGUUGACCGGUCCACGGUGCCCCUAGCAGACAUGCCACGGCCAUGCAACGCCGUCCAACGAUAGCGCGCCGUGAGCUACGGUGGUCUAAGGGUGUGGUUGGUUAAAAAGAUAUCCCUAGAUAUGGUUAGUUUUUGGGUUUGUUUGGUUGGUGGGUAAGGGACGAUAGGAUGGAAUAUUCCAUGAUUAUGACUAUGUUAAUGAUAAUAACGGAAACGGAUCGUCUACUGUACAGUUAAUACUGCACAGGUGCUGUAGCGAUUAAAUCAAGCCAUCAGAUUACAUUAGAUGGCUCUGAUUUUGCUCAAUCUGCCCACCACUUACUUGACAGUUACAUGGCUAAGGCCAUGAAAGCUUCAGACUCUGUUUAUACAUAUGUGUGUGCUGUUCAUCUAACAAUAUGCCUCCCAUUUCACAUCUUCUACAAAUAUCAUAAGCAGAGCAUCGCCUCACUGUGAAGUCUACACUUAUUCCAAAGUGUAACACUAAAAAAGUUGUGUAACACUAAAAAAGUUGCAUCGUUCAUUUACACCCUCUACAAAAUAGUGCUCUGAUGAAAAGGUUUCAGGAAGAUUAAACAUAAUACUCUGAUGGAAACAUGUACAAAGGUAACUGCAUGUGUGCCAAUAGUUCAGUACUAAACGCUGACAGAAACUGACAGAAGAAUGCAUAGCAUAAAUUUUCUGUGGCAUUGAAAAAAAAUGAAUGGAUGUUCUCAAAAGUAAAUGUUCAAUGGCUUGAUUUGUUAUUGUCAAUUUGAUACCCAGGUAUCUAGCUAUCUCCCAUCAAAAUUUGCACUGAACCCAAAAUUCCAGGUAGUAUCAAAUAUGUUCUGCUCCAUGCCAUCACCCUAUACAAUGAAUUAGAGUAAUUAGAAAAAUAAUAUUGAUGCUGCUAGACAGUAUGCACUAAAUAUAUAAGUUUUAGUAUAUAUAAGUGGAAUACCCUCAGUAGUUCUGCAUAGCUAUUGAUCCAUCCAUAUUCUUCAGAUCCCUUCUCAUUCGUUCCAUUAGUCUUCUCCACCAGAAUUUGGUUCUGUGCUAUGGAACAAUCCUUCACUUGCUGCUAAGCAAAACCAUCCAGAUAAAAUAUUACUCUAUAUAUAAUCAGUACAUAUAUAGUCUAAUUGAAUAGUACAUAUAUAGUCUAAUUGAAUAGUUCGUAAGUAACAUACCGAGAUAUUUUGUUUGUCAGGUACAACUUGUACCUUCUUUUUGGUGGGAUGCUGCUUAUCAAGCCAAUUUUUCUUUCUCCUUGUGCUACACUUUUGAGUUUCUUUUUUCUUCAGACGUGCAGUGUGCAAAGAGCCGUUUGCUUCUUCAGAUGCAACUUCACCUAGUUGACUAUUAGGUGUUUUUUCAUCAACUUCUUUCCUCAGGCUCUCUAGAACACUGUCCACUAGUGUGCUGCACUCUUUAGAUUCAGCAGCUCGAAUAGCUAUACCAAGAAAUUUGUGAAUAAGAAACUUCAAGAGGCACCUAUCCUCCAAUCUGGGAUCUUCUACGACAAUCUUGCCAUAACAGUCCUCAAUAGCACCAACUCGUGCUUCUCGAGUCCAUCGCUUCAAAAUAUAUCUCUUUGGCAAAGACUUAAUAUUCAUCACAUCAAGGACUUUCAAAGCAUGACUGCACAAUAUUCCAGUCCUUUCAAAUUGUCCACAGGUGCACAAUGCCUAUUGCUCUGCAUAAUUGCCUACAACUUUGCACUCCUCUUCAAAUGUUGACCCUUCACCAGGAGCCUCAAUUGCAACAAUGAAUUCAUUAUGUUCUGAUGACUUGAUGUAUGUAGCCAUGGAUCUUUCAUAUUCAUUUUGAAAAUAUUCAAAUAUACAAGGUGUGU
This 2367-nucleotide small RNA is filed under the name Oryza sativa Japonica Group (Japanese rice). RNAcentral's name for it is "sRNA Os02g0452000". The record is from RNAcentral. Lineage: Eukaryota; Viridiplantae; Streptophyta; Magnoliopsida; Poales; Poaceae.